AACGCACCUUGCGCUCCUUGGUAUUCCGAGGAGCAUGCCUGUUUGAGUGUCAUUAAAUUCUCAACCUUUAUCAGCUUUUGCUGAUGAUGGCUUGGAUGUGGGGGUUUAUUUUGCUGGCUUCUUUACAGAUGGUCAGCUCCCCUUAAAUGCAUUAGCUGGUGCCCCGCGUGGACUGUCUAUUGGUGUGAUAAUUAUCUACGCCGUGGACAUCUGCAAUCAUAUGGGUUUGCACUGCUUCCAAUCGUCUGUUCAAUCAGACAAUACAUGACAAUUUGACCUCAAAUCAGGUAGGACUACCCGCUGAACUUAA
This 310-nucleotide unclassified non-coding RNA is filed under the name uncultured Hebeloma. Its description in RNAcentral is "sequence contains ITS2". The stretch from base 1 to 52 matches the Rfam family "5.8S ribosomal RNA", at positions 103 to 154 of the family's 154-position model. The record is from RNAcentral. Lineage: Eukaryota; Fungi; Basidiomycota; Agaricomycetes; Agaricales; Cortinariaceae.